UCAAGCGAACAAGUGCAUGUGGUGGAUGCCUUGGCGAUCACAGGCGAUGAAGGACGCGGUAGCCUGCGAAAAGCUACGGGGAGCUGGCAAACGAGCUUUGAUCCGUAGAUGUCCGAAUGGGGAAACCCACUCCGAAUGGAGUAUCCAUGACUGAAUACAUAGGUCAUGUGAAGCGAACGCGGUGAACUGAAACAUCUAAGUAACCGCAGGAAAAGAAAUCAACCGAGAUUCCCAGAGUAGUGGCGAGCGAAAUGGGAUCAGCCUGUACUCUUUAUCUUCAUUGUUAGUCGAAGGCUCUGGAAAGUGCCGCCAUAGCAGGUGAUAGCCCUGUAGACGAAAACAGCGAGGAAGAACUAGGUGUACGACAAGUAGGGCGGGACACGUGAAAUCCUGUCUGAAGAUGGGGGGACCAUCCUCCAAGGCUAAAUACUCGUGAUCGACCGAUAGUGAACCAGUACCGUGAGGGAAAGGCGAAAAGAACCCCGGGAGGGGAGUGAAAUAGAUCCUGAAACCGCAUGCAUACAAACAGUAGGAGCCUCGCAAGGGGUGACUGCGUACCUUUUGUAUAAUGGGUCAGCGACUUACAUUCAGUGGCAAGCUUAACCGAUUAGGGCAGGCGUAGCGAAAGCGAGUCCGAACAGGGCGAUUCAGUCGCUGGGUGUAGACCCGAAACCAGGUGAUCUAUCCAUGGCCAGGAUGAAGGUGCGGUAACACGUACUGGAGGUCCGAACCCACUAACGUUGAAAAGUUAGGGGAUGAGCUGUGGAUAGGGGUGAAAGGCUAAACAAACCUGGAAAUAGCUGGUUCUCUCCGAAAACUAUUUAGGUAGUGCCUCGUGUAUCACCUUCGGGGGUAGAGCACUGUCAUGGUUGUGGGGUCCAUUGCGGAUUACUACGCCAUAGCAAACUCCGAAUACCGAAGAGUGCAAUCACGGGAGACAGACAUCGGGUGCUAACGUCCGGUGUCAAGAGGGAAACAACCCAGACCGCCAGCUAAGGUCCCCAAAUAUUGCUAAGUGGGAAACGAAGUGGGAAGGCUAAAACAGUCAGGAGGUUGGCUUAGAAGCAGCCAUCCUUUAAAGAAAGCGUAAUAGCUCACUGAUCGAGUCGUCCUGCGCGGAAGAUGUAACGGGGCUAAGCAAUAUACCGAAGCUGCGGAUGCACAUUUAUGUGCAUGGUAGGAGAGCGUUCCGUAAGCCUGCGAAGGUGCACUGGAAAGUGUGCUGGAGGUAUCGGAAGUGCGAAUGCUGACAUGAGUAGCGAUAAAGGGGGUGAAAAGCCCCCUCGCCGUAAGCCCAAGGUUUCCUACGCAACGUUCAUCGGCGUAGGGUGAGUCGGCCCCUAAGGCGAGGCAGAAAUGCGUAGCUGAUGGGAAGCAGGUUAAUAUUCCUGCACCAUUGUUAAAUGCGAUGGGGGGACGGAUCGCGGAAGGUUGUCCGGUGUUGGAAGUCCCGGUCCUUGCAUUGGAGAAGGCGCUUAGGCAAAUCCGGGCGCGGAAUUCAAGGGUGCGAGGCCAUUCACUUCGGUGAAGAAGCAAUCGGAAGUGGUUCCAAGAAAAGCCUCUAAGCUUCAGUUUAACAAGACCGUACCGCAAACCGACACAGGUGGGCGAGAUGAGUAUUCUAAGGCGCUUGAGAGAACUCGGGAGAAGGAACUCGGCAAAUUGGUACCGUAACUUCGGGAUAAGGUACGCCCCUGUAGCUUGACUGGCUCGCGCCAGAAGGGUGAAGGGGUUGCAAUAAACUGGUGGCUGCGACUGUUUAAUAAAAACACAGCACUCUGCAAACACGAAAGUGGACGUAUAGGGUGUGACGCUGCCCGGUGCCGGAAGAUUAAAUGAUGGGGUGCAAGCUCUUGAUUGAAGUCCCGGUAAACGGCGGCCGUAACUAUAACGGUCCUAAGGUAGCGAAAUUCCUUGUCGGGUAAGUUCCGACCUGCACGAAUGGCGUAACGAUGGCCACACUGUCUCCUCCCGAGACUCAGCGAAGUUGAAGUGUUUGUGAUGAUGCAAUCUCCCCGCGGCUAGACGGAAAGACCCCAUGAACCUUUACUGUAGCUUUGCAUUGGACUUUGAACCGAUCUGUGUAGGAUAGGUGGGAGGCUAUGAAGCGUGGACGCCAGUCUGCGUGGAGCCGUCCUUGAAAUACCACCCUGGUUUGUUUGAGGUUCUAACCUUGGUCCGUAAUCCGGAUCGGGGACAGUGCAUGGUAGGCAGUUUGACUGGGGCGGUCUCCUCCCAAAGUGUAACGGAGGAGUACGAAGGUACGCUAGGUACGGUCGGAAAUCGUGCUGAUAGUGCAAUGGCAUAAGCGUGCUUAACUGCGAGACCGACAAGUCGAGCAGGUGCGAAAGCAGGUCAUAGUGAUCCGGUGGUUCUGUAUGGAAGGGCCAUCGCUCAACGGAUAAAAGGUACUCUGGGGAUAACAGGCUGAUACCGCCCAAGAGUUCAUAUCGACGGCGGUGUUUGGCACCUCGAUGUCGGCUCAUCUCAUCCUGGGGCUGUAGCCGGUCCCAAGGGUAUGGCUGUUCGCCAUUUAAAGAGGUACGUGAGCUGGGUUUAAAACGUCGUGAGACAGUUUGGUCCCUAUCUGCCGUGGGCGCUGGAUAUUUGAAGGGGGCUGCUCCUAGUACGAGAGGACCGGAGUGGACGAACCUCUGGUGUACCGGUUGUCACGCCAGUGGCAUCGCCGGGUAGCUAUGUUCGGAAGAGAUAACCGCUGAAAGCAUCUAAGCGGGAAACUCGCCUUAAGAUGAGAUAUCCCCGGGGCUUCGAGCCCCUUGAAGGGUCGUUCAAGACCAGGACGUUGAUAGGUCAGGUGUGGAAGCGCAGUAAUGCGUUAAGCUAACUGAUACUAAUUGCCCGUAAGGCUUGAUCCU
Burkholderia sp. AD24 is the source of this 2876-nucleotide non-coding RNA. Lineage: Bacteria; Pseudomonadati; Pseudomonadota; Betaproteobacteria; Burkholderiales; Burkholderiaceae. The record is from Rfam.